RNAcentral lists this ribosomal RNA (253 nucleotides) under uncultured bacterium. Its description in RNAcentral is "partial 16S ribosomal RNA". It matches the Rfam family "Bacterial small subunit ribosomal RNA", at positions 524 to 776 of the family's 1533-position model. The record is from RNAcentral.
GACGUAGGGCGCGAGCGUUGUCCGGAAUUAUUGGGCGUAAAGAGCUCGUAGGCGGCUUGUUGCGUCGGCUGUGAAAACCCGCGGCUCAACCGUGGGCUUGCAGCCGAUACCGGCAGGCUAGAGUUCGGUAGGGGAGACUGGAAUUCCUGGUGUAGCGGUGAAAUGCGUAGAUAUCGUGUGGAACGCCGAUGGUGAAAACAGGUUGCUGGGGCUGUGCUGACGCUGAGACACGAAAGCCAGGGGAGCGAACGGG